AGAGCUCGAGGUUAGCUCUUCACUGCCCUGUGUCUUCUUUCCAAGGGUCUCGGUGAUUCGGCCACAGCCUCAGCCUCCAUCACGCGGUGAACUGAUGGUGCUGGAAGAUUCAUAGACUCCAGGACAUUCCUGAAGCCGAGAAAAGGUUAAGUAGGGUCUGGCCUGGAAUACUCUCCUAGAUGAAGAUAGCCCAACCAUGAGCCACCUUCGAAGCAGAUGAGAUGAAAUUAAAGCUCUUCAACUCCUAAAGGCCCAGAGACUAUCACAAAAGAGGUCAGAAAUCCUGAAGGUCACUUUCUGACAAACUCAGGAACCCCAGGUUUAUCUUGGAGCCUCAAGAGGAGAUAAAUUCACCCAACUCAGAGUGAGGCUGGCUGGGGGAGCCUGGGCUCCUCUGUCCUCCCCGAGGUGGCAGUGGCUGAUGUCUGCUCAGGUGUGAGGGGGUGCUGCCAUCCUCUGGGCCUGAGGCUGCCUGGCCCAGCCCCUCCUAACUCCCUGGACUCUUCCACGGUGUCUUCAGGCCCCUACACCAUCCUUUGUGUAAGGGGAGGUGGCAGCAUAGAGAUGAUGGGGGAACUGCCCCAUGUGCCAAGGAAAGCUCACCCAUCUGUGCGAAAUGCUCUGGUUGACAUUGGGUUUUUGCGCACCAAACUGGGCCAUGACCAAGGUUUAUAACCAAGGUGUCUCCGGGCAUGGGCACUUUGGCUCUUGUAGAAACCACCCCACUGGCAGGAGACGGCGGUAGCUGUGGUCAUUGAAAACAAGCUCCUGCUGAUAAAUCUCAGACACCAGACACAGAAGAACCUGGAGACCCUGCCAGAGAGCUUGAGGCAAAUGGAUGGACUGUUGGAGCAGCUGAGGGUGAAGCAGCACAAACUCCUCAAAGUUGAAUAGCAAAGCAGCCACCAGAGAUGGACAAGAAAAAUGAACAAAGAAAAUUAGCAGAAAUCAAAGGCAGAUGCUAAAGCAGUGCAAAAUCAUUCAUUCAAUGAUAGAAAUGAAAUUGAUGAAGGAGUCUGGAAAAUGAAUGACAGAAGAGAAUUAAACAGCAGUGACCAUAGUAAGGUCCUGACGAUUCUGGUCCACUGAAUCCCAUCAUCCCUAAGACAGUAAAUAUCAUCACAGUCACCACCAGCAAGUUACCACCACAGCAUUUCCUGUUUGUUCCAAAAUGAAUAAAGAUGAUUCUCAUCACAAGGGCAAAUACAAAGUAGUUUAGUAUGUUUUUAACUAAACUAAAGGUGUUUGGUUUACUUUUUCUAAGUUCUCAUAAUUCUGAAAAUGCAGUUGACACUUGUGUGGCUCAUGAUGUUUUUAAUAGUCUAAUGCUACUUGAAUUGUUCAAAAACCACUGUAUUUUAAAUUAAGAUGAAUAAACGGUCCUUUGAAAACUGGCACAAGGCAAGGAUGCCCUCUGUCA
This 1420-nucleotide long non-coding RNA is filed under the name Homo sapiens (human). RNAcentral describes it as "HSALNT0396627". Lineage: Eukaryota; Metazoa; Chordata; Mammalia; Primates; Hominidae. The record is from RNAcentral.